GCUGGCGGCGUGCCUAAUCAUGCAAGUCGAGCGGACAGAUGGGAGCUUGCUCCCUGAUGUUAGCGGCGGACGGGUGAGUAACACGUGGGUAACCUGCCUGUAAGACUGGGAUAACUCCGGGAAACCGGGGCUAAUACCGGAUGGUUGUUUGAACCGCAUGGUUCAAACAUAAAAGGUGGCUUCGGCUACCACUUACAGAUGGACCCGCGGCGCAUUAGCUAGUUGGUGAGGUAACGGCUCACCAAGGCGACGAUGCGUAGCCGACCUGAGAGGGUGAUCGGCCACACUGGGACUGAGACACGGCCCAGACUCCUACGGGAGGCAGCAGUAGGGAAUCUUCCGCAAUGGACGAAAGUCUGACGGAGCAACGCCGCGUGAGUGAUGAAGGUUUUCGGAUCGUAAAGCUCUGUUGUUAGGGAAGAACAAGUACCGUUCGAAUAGGGCGGUACCUGACGGUACCUAACCAGAAAGCCACGGCUAAUU
Molecule: ribosomal RNA, 483 nt
Filed under: Bacillus subtilis
Lineage: Bacteria; Bacillati; Bacillota; Bacilli; Caryophanales; Bacillaceae
Description: bacterial SSU rRNA
Rfam family: Bacterial small subunit ribosomal RNA
Source: RNAcentral